This 446-nucleotide ribosomal RNA is filed under the name uncultured bacterium. Its description in RNAcentral is "bacterial SSU rRNA". It matches the Rfam family "Bacterial small subunit ribosomal RNA", at positions 329 to 792 of the family's 1533-position model. The record is from RNAcentral.
GUCCAGACUCCUACGGGAGGCAGCAGUAAGGGAUAUUGGUCAAUGGGGGAAACCCUGAACCAGCAACGCCGCGUGAGGGAAGACGGUUUUCGGAUUGUAAACCUCUGUCCUCUGUGGAGAUGAUGACGGUAGCAGAGGAGGAAGCUCCGGCUAACUCCGUGCCAGCAGCCGCGGUAAUACGUAGGGGGCAAGCGUUAUCCGGAUUUACUGGGUGUAAAGGGAGCGUAGACGGCAGUGCAAGUCUGAAGUGAAAGGCAAGGGCUCAACCCUUGGACUGCUUUGGAAACUGUGCUGCUGGAGUGUCGGAGAGGCAAGUGGAAUUCCUAGUGUAGCGGUGAAAUGCGUAGAUAUUAGGAGGAACACCAGUGGUGAAGGCGGCUUGCUGGACGAUGACUGACGUUGAGGCCCGAAAGCGUGGGGAGCAAACAGGAUUAGAUACCCUAGUA